Molecule: long non-coding RNA, 574 nt
Organism: Spinacia oleracea (spinach)
Lineage: Eukaryota; Viridiplantae; Streptophyta; Magnoliopsida; Caryophyllales; Amaranthaceae
Exons: 3
Source: RefSeq, a predicted model, not a curated record
UUGCCACAAAGAAAAAAAGAAUCAUGCUCCCGUUUCUUUCUCCUCGUGCUUCAGUCUCAGAGUCUCGGGAACUCUUAUUCUCUCUCCUCCAUUAGCUCUCCUUCGUGAUUCUCUCUCCUCACCCGCUGCAACCACUGCACCGCCACCAUCUUCACGCUGCCAUAAUCUACGGGUCAUCUUCUCUGCUACAAUUGCUUUGAUUUGAUGUUCUUCAUGUGGGAAAUACUGCAACACUCAAUUAUUCACUUGAAUCUGCAAUAAUCGAGCUUAAAAUUGAAGGAACAAUAUGAUGGAUUGGAUCUGAUAGAAAAUGAAGAUCAAGUAGUUGACAUUGAGAAUCAUGCACACACAAGGGAAGACAAUUGAAGAUGAAAAGAUAGAAGACAAUACAUUUGAUGUUUAGAUAUGAUCAUUUGGUUUUAUUUAGAACAUCAUAAUGUAAUUUUCAUAGAGCAUACAUCAAAUACAUUAGAAUGUUGUUUAUUAGUUUAACCUUCAAAAUGACAUUUGCAUAUUUGUUCAAAUAAUUAUUUCGGAUUCAUAUUAUUAAUACUAUUCUUCUUUUUAUUGUUAA